This 492-nucleotide ribosomal RNA is filed under the name uncultured bacterium. Its description in RNAcentral is "bacterial SSU rRNA". It matches the Rfam family "Bacterial small subunit ribosomal RNA", at positions 29 to 509 of the family's 1533-position model. The record is from RNAcentral.
AUUGAACGCUGGCGGCAUGCUUUACACAUGCAAGUCGAACGGCAGCACGGGCUUCGGCCUGGUGGCGAGUGGCGAACGGGUGAGUAAUGCGUCGGAACGUGCCGAGUAAUGGGGGAUAACGCAUCGAAAGGUGUGCUAAUACCGCAUACGCUCUGAGGAGGAAAGCGGGGGGACCUUCGGGCCUCGCGUUAUUCGAGCGGCCGACGUCUGAUUAGCUAGUUGGUGGGGUAAAGGCGUCACCAAGGCGACGAUCAGUAGCGGGUCUGAGAGGAUGAUCCGCCACACUGGGACUGAGACAGGCCCAGACUCCUACGGGAGGCAGCAGUGGGGAAUAUUGCACAAUGGGGGAAACCCUGAUGCAGCCAUGCCGCGUGUGUGAAGAAGGCCUUCGGGUUGUAAAGCACUUUCAGCGAGGAGGAAAGGUUGGUAGGCUAAUAACUGGCCAGCCUGUGACGUUACUCGGCAGAAGAAGCACCGGGCUAACUCCGUGCC